Molecule: long non-coding RNA, 540 nt
Organism: Erpetoichthys calabaricus (reedfish)
Lineage: Eukaryota; Metazoa; Chordata; Cladistia; Polypteriformes; Polypteridae
Exons: 3
Source: RefSeq, a predicted model, not a curated record
CCUUAGAGUACCCUGCAAAGACAAGUAUGUUAUAUGAACAGUGAAAUGUCCAAAACAUACCUUUCCUUAUACAGUCCCCUUGACUAAUCCCUACCACUCACCAUGUUAUUGUUGUUUCUGUCAAAAAAAAUAAUCUGUUCUUAUUUCAGAACAAGCAUCUACCAAUGAACCUCACAAUGUUAAUAGAACGCAGCACCAGAUAGAUCAUAGCAAAAAUCAAUUAAUUUAUCCUGAAAACGUACUUUUGCACAUUUUGAAUUCCACAGGAAGGUUUUUGAAAAAUGUUCAUCGUAACUUUACAAAGCACCAUUAGCUAUUUAUCCACUCUUCAAGGUUGUGAUAGAUUUUUCUUUGGGGCAGGGUUUUAUACUUUUUGCAGAUUUGGCAGAACCGCUCCCUCCAGUCUUUGUACACCUUGACUGUGAAUUGUUUUUUCCAUUCAAAGUAUUGCCUAUAAUGAGUCUCAUUGUUGGCCACUGCCCUGAGGUAUUCUGCCAGUUCUUUGGUGCUUGGGAAGUCCUCCACAUGAAUGAAUGACCC